UACGUAGGGCGCGAGCGUUGUCCGGAAUUAUUGGGCGUAAAGAGCUCGUAGGCGGCCUGUUGCGUCCGCUGUGAAAUCCCAGGGCUCAACCCUGGGCGUGCAGUGGAUACGGGCAGGCUGGAGGCAGGCAGGGGAGAACGGAAUUCCUGGUGUAGCGGUGAAAUGCGCAGAUAUCAGGAAGAACACCUAUGGCGAAGGCAGCUCUCUGGGACGGUACUGACGCUGAGACGCGAAAGCGUGGGGAGCGAACAGG
This 253-nucleotide ribosomal RNA is filed under the name uncultured bacterium. RNAcentral's name for it is "partial 16S ribosomal RNA". It matches the Rfam family "Bacterial small subunit ribosomal RNA", at positions 524 to 776 of the family's 1533-position model. The record is from RNAcentral.